This 497-nucleotide ribosomal RNA is filed under the name uncultured bacterium. RNAcentral's name for it is "partial 16S ribosomal RNA". It matches the Rfam family "Bacterial small subunit ribosomal RNA", at positions 28 to 507 of the family's 1533-position model. The record is from RNAcentral.
GAUGAACGCUGGCGGCGUGCCUAAUACAUGCAAGUCGAGCGAACGGACGAGAAGCUUGCUUCUCUGAUGUUAGCGGCGGACGGGUGAGUAACACGUGGAUAACCUACCUAUUAGACUGGGAUAACUUCGGGGAACCGGAGCUAAUACCGGAUGAUAUUUUUAACCGCAUGGUUCAAAAGUGAAAGACGGUCUUGCUGUCACUUAUAGAUGGAUCCGCGCUGCAUUAGCUAGUUGGUAAGGUAACGGCUUACCAAGGCAACGAUGCAUAGCCGACCUGAGAGGGUGAUCGGCCACACUGGAACUGAGACACGGUCCAGACUCCUACGGGAGGCAGCAGUAGGGAAUCUUCCGCAAUGGGCGAAAGCCUGACGGAGCAACGCCGCGUGAGUGAUGAAGGUCUUCGGAUCGUAAAACUCUGUUAUUAGGGAAGAACAUAUGUGUAAGUAACUGUGCACAUCUUGACGGUACCUAAUCAGAAAGCCACGGCUAACUACGUG